This is a long non-coding RNA of Myotis myotis, 3117 nucleotides long. RefSeq lists it as uncharacterized. NCBI's taxonomy places the organism in Eukaryota, Metazoa, Chordata, Mammalia, Chiroptera, Vespertilionidae. The transcript is spliced from 2 exons. The record is from RefSeq and is a predicted model, not a curated record.
AAGGCACAUGCCCUCGACCGGAAUCGAACCUGGGACCUUUCAGUCCGCAGGCUGACGCUCUAUCCACUGAGCCAAACCGGUUUUGGCCUUAAGGAUCUUUUAAUGGUGACAUUAAACUUGAGUCAUGUUAUCAAAAAAAUGUUUUGGCCCAAACUCCUUUUUCACCAGUUUCAUUGCUCAUCUGUUUGUUGUAUACUUGUUCCUGAGUUCGUAAUUAUGAUUUGCUUCUAAUUUCUUUGGAGUGUUUCUGAAUUUUUUUGUUCUCAAAACACGCAUGCAUCCUUGCACAUCCGAACCUUCCUUUCUGCCCUGAUACAGCAACAGCUGUUAGCUGAGCAUCCCUGAUGGAGUGGCUGUCUCCUUGCCAGAACUUCUGACUUCCUGCCUCAUAGGAGGAUUGUACGUCUUAUUGCUGUUGAGCUUGGGCUUGGUCAAGGACAGGUAGGUAGAGGUGGUGUGUGUCCCAAGGCAGACACUGUAAGAGGCAGCGUGUGGCUCACGUGCCUUCCCUCUAGCCCAGCGUCAGCCACAUUCCAGGUGCAGAGUAGACCAUGCACCUGGGUCCCAGCGUGAAGACUAGAACAGAGAUGCAGCCAACCAGUGGUAUAUGAAGCAGUGAGGUAUAUUUUUUAAAAUGAGCUUUGUAGUAUAAUAUAUAUACAUUGAAGUGCAUAAAGUGCACAGAUCUUGAGUGUGGAAUGGGAUGCAUUUUUACACAUAAUGGGUAAUCAGCAGAUGAAGAUACAGGAAUAUUUCCUGGACCCCAGGACUUCUCUCAUGCCCUUUUCUGGUUUAUACCCUCUCCCUGGAUGACCAGUAUUCUUUUAUUUAAAAAAAAUUUUUUUUUGUCCUCACUCGAUAUGGUUGCCUCUCCUACACGCCCCAACUGGGGACUGAACCCGCAACCUAGGUAUAUGCCCUGACUGGGAAUUGAACCCUUCGGUGUACAGGACGACUCUCCAACCAAUAGCCACACUGGCCAGGGCGACCAGUGUUCUUGUAUCGCCCUGAGAUUAGUUUUGUCUAUUCUGGAAUGUCGUAUGAAUGGACUCGUCCACUAAGGAUGCUUGCUGCUUCCGCUCACCAUGGUGUCUGGGUGUGUGCAUUCCGCUGUAUGAAUACACUGCAACUUAUUUACCCAUUCUUUGAUGUUCAUUUAGGCCUAGUUUGGGGCCGUAUGAAUGAAGCUGCUAUGAUUCAUUCUUGUGUUUUUGGUGGAUUUGUUUUCAUUUCUCUUGGGCCUGCACCUGGCACUGCUGGGCCACGGGGUAGGAAUAUGUUCAGCUUCAGUAGUUACUUGCAUAUUGAGACAUUAAAAGGCUCACCAGGUGACUCCGAUGUGCUGCUGGGAAGGAGAACCCUGGUCCGGAGAGACAGCUCUAAAUGCUUGCUGCCCAGUUAGCUCCCCUCCCGAGGCCUGCUGAGUCCUGCCAGGUUCCCCAGUUGCCCUCCAGUAAACCCCUAAACUGUAUCUGUUGUUUGCCACCAGUGAGUCCUGUCCAACCAGACGUGUGGUUCCAGUCUGGCUCCUACCCUCACCCCAAAUCUGCUUCAGAGGUAAAUUCUCAUCCCCAUCGUCUCUGUUGAUUGGGCGCCAGCUUCCAGCCUCUGUCUCCCCUGCCAGAGCCCUCGCUACCUGCAGCAGCCCAGCUCGGACUCUUGCCCCAUUUCUUCCUUCUGUGCCCGUGGACAUGUGGACGUGGUGGCGGUCGAUCCACAGCAUCUCCAGUCCUGAGAGCACAGCAGGGUUGACAUGAGGCUGAACUGGCAAAAGCACGUCAAGUACUUAGUAUGGGCCCUGGUGGAAAGAGCUCACAAAUGAUGCUGACAUGCAGAUCACUGAAUGCUUCCGUCAGCCUUCAUCACCGAGUUCGGACGGACUGCACGCCACAUGGAGAGCUGCACGUUCAGUAAGCCAGGCGCUGGCCACCAGGGCUGUCGAGCUCUUGAAAUGUUUCUUGUCCAAGUUGAGCUGUGUUGUCAGUGGAAAAUAUAUACUUUACGAGAAGAAGAAUGGUUACAUGUUAGAGGAAUACUGUGGUUAUAGCGGGUUAAAUGAAAUGCAGUCACACUUGUUUUUUUCUAAAGGGUGGCAAGGCUGGGUAAGGGCACACCAUUUAGAGGUCACACCCUUUCAGAUAGUGUUUCUCAAAUUGGGGGGCUCUGUGUAGAGUUUAUGGCCUCAAAAGAUCUGUCCUCCAGUCUUAGUUCUGCCCUGUGAUUGUUCAGAGGAUGAAAAGAGAUCAUUUAAUUUCAAUAAAAAACUUACCUAAAAAAAAACAGAUACAAGCAAACACUCCACACAAACCCUGAAGUUCUCUGGUCUUGAACCACUAGAUGGCGCCACAGCACAAGUUUCUAGAAAUAAUCCCUCCUACAGUAGUUGCCUUAGAACAGGUUCUCCAAGGGGUUCACUCUCAUUCUCAGAUCUUACCUGAAAUGCACAUUCUCAGGCCACACCCCAGACCCCCUGAAUCAGAAACGGUAUUGUAACACCCACCCAGGUGGUUCUGGUGCACACUGAAGUUUGAGAAUUGCUGUCCUAUAAUUGGCUUUGGGGUAGCUUGGGUAAGCGAGUAGGACCCCGGGCACAGAGGGCUUGCUGGAGGGGCAAGGGCGGCAGUGGGAGAGGGGAGAGUGAAGGAACAAUUCCAAAUUGUCCACGUGUGGACAGAACUCCUACAAACCAGGGAGCAGUUAAGGAGCAAGAGACUGGGUGGUGGUUUUGUACUUUUCUUUUUAGAUAAGGGAUGUCAAAUGGUGUCACUGGGGAACCCCCAUUUUAGGGCAAAGGCCCCAGUCCAGGAGCCUUUGGGGCAGCCUUUGUGGCCACUAAUGGCUGUUUAUUUCUUCCCGUUCUGAAACUUCACCAAAGCACCGCUGUGUUAAUGGACUAAAAUCUUGCAACCCUCUCAAGACGAUCCAGGAAAAUGGAUGCUCAGAAAUGAAAAAGAAGCUUGAGACCAGGUCUGGAUUUCUAUAGCACCUGGAAGGUUCUCUCAUAUGCUUUGGACGUCAACACCCACCAAGAGGUAACCACCAUCAUGACUUCUAUCACCAUUGGUUGGCUUUGCUGUUCUUGAAUUUCAUAUAAAUGGAAUAAAUACAGCAUAUAUA